Molecule: long non-coding RNA, 2267 nt
Organism: Syngnathus acus (greater pipefish)
Lineage: Eukaryota; Metazoa; Chordata; Actinopteri; Syngnathiformes; Syngnathidae
Exons: 2
Source: RefSeq, a predicted model, not a curated record
CUGUUUCUCUUUGAGCAAGAGGGUUGAGAAGUAAAUCCACUCCAAAUUUUGGAAGUUUUCUGGCUUUUGGUGUGGUUGAGGGCACCUUGAUGAAUUAACGGCGUAUGUGACAAAGGUUUCCUAUGAAGAAGGAACGGCAAAUGGGUGAGCAAGGGUUAAAAGCAAGCGCCAGAGGAGGAGAGAGAGAGUGACUGAAGGACUUGGUAAUUAGGCGGUCUGCAACUCACGCCUCAUCAGUAUGCGGAAUAUGCAAAUUAAACGUCUGGGUCUUUCUUUUUUUCGUGGAGGAUCAGAAGGCAAGCGCUGCAGAGAAUUAAGCGCAAUUAUUCAACCCGUGGAAAGGCUGAUGUAUGCAAACAAGGGAUGGAGCGCACAGAUACUAUACAUUGGACUCCAAUGUAAGGACAGUUAGAGAUAAUCACACAAGUACAGUCAUGCCUUCCUCGCACCUGGGAGAUUCUUCUACAUUGGUUCUGGAGGUAAUGAGUGGAAAAAACGGCAAUCGGACAUGCGCCUUCGUUCCCCAUUAUGCCUUUCUUCGCAUAUUGAUGCGCUGCCUCGUGGAUGAUUAUUACCUUUUGGAAUAUCGCACGGCAAAACGAGCCUCGGAAUAAAGGAGCGGGAGGAAAGGAUGGGAAAAAGACAAAAGAGCGGAGGUAUGCAAAGGCGCUAAUGAUAUUCAGAGCGCCGACUGCGUGUCAUCUGCAUGAUGACAACGGCCAAUUACAAUGAACCAUUGGCGCUCUGCCACAGAUAAGUAGGAGAGGAUAUGGGCAACGAGGAGGGGGAAGCAAAACGUACUUCCCUUUCUUCUUAAUGUGCUGCUGAUUUGUCGACUCAACGCCGUGGAUUUACAAUAACGAUGAAUGUGAGGAAGAAGAAGAAAAAAAAACACAACCACCCAAGCUUUGUCCCUCAAACGGGAUUGAAGGCCAAAGGCGAAAGGUAUCCCUCCAUGUUGAAAUAAUGGCUGCCGAGGAUGGUAUUCCACCGCCGCGCCGAUUCCGCUGGCAUUUCUUCCCGUACCAACCAGCGCCGCAACGAAUCUGUCGGAAACGGCAAACGAACAGACAAGCGCACAAACAUACGCCACUAUUUUUUUCUUUUUUCCCACCGUGCCGCCCUCUCUCCUUCCUCAUCACAAUACAAAAUGCCUCCCUUCACCAUUUUGCAUAUUUGCAUGCCGCCCCGCCUGCCACAAAGGACUAAAGAGCCAUAUGCAAAGCAGUCUGGCAUCCCCUCUUACAUAGCAAUGAGGGGGAACACCGAGCAAAAGAGAGGAAGGGAGGUGGGCUAAAACAUGAUUGGGGGGAGUAAGUACAGGAAGAUGGUGGCGGUGGCGAGGGGGGCAGUCGGGCCACGGGGGAUCUUGUUGGCACUAAAAAGCGGCACGUGCCGUGUUACCACUCCCACUGCGUGAUGACAAAAAGGCGGGCGUGGGAAAAAACCAGCGGCGGGGGAUGCAAGGGAGGGUAGAUCGAGGACGAGGGCAUGUUGGCACUGAGAGGGGGCACGUGUUGCCUGAGGAAGGGGAGGGGGCGAUUUGGGUUGGUAAAAUGCGAGAUUAGAAGGGGGCGUAGCAUGAGUGGUGGCAUUCAACACCGGCGUAUAAAGAGGAACGGGAUCCACACUGAGAGGCCACCUGCAUUAAGAUGCAAGAUGCAAAGUCGAGGCCACUCAGACACAAAUCUCGAACCCUCUCAGGAGAUCAGACUACCUCAAUCUCUGUGACAAAACAUGAUGACUUAAACAGAAAUUACACCCGUCUACAAGCACAUACGUUUGGAUUCCUCAAGCCAAAAAACACUUUGAAAAUGAGUUUGUUUUUUUCCUUGAUACAUUUUGUGAUAUUUAUAUCUACAUAUAAGUUUAUGCGUGUGGGAAAAAUGGUGUCAUUGAAAAGAAGGUUGAGCAAAAACAGUUUAAAAAUGUUUUAUCAUGAUUUGUAAUUAUUGUAAAAGAAUGGAUGAUUCUUACCUCUCGGAAUAAAGCACAAUAAUAACCGUGAACGAAAACACUGCGGGUCCACUAUAUCAUUGAAUUUCAAAAACAUGAUGUUUAUCAUGUACGCAGUUUGGUGUACAACAGUACCGCCUGAUCCGAAGCUCAUGCCGAAACAUUUCGUAAAUUUAAUUGAGCUGACCAAAAUAUUUGACACAUUACAAUACAGUACAGUUUUACACCAUUGCAAACUACCUUCACUGUUUUACCUUUACUGUGACAUGAAAUGUAUAAUGAUAAUGAAUUAAAAUGUUGAAAUGUUUCCU